RNAcentral lists this ribosomal RNA (253 nucleotides) under uncultured prokaryote. RNAcentral describes it as "partial 16S ribosomal RNA". It matches the Rfam family "Bacterial small subunit ribosomal RNA", at positions 525 to 777 of the family's 1533-position model. The record is from RNAcentral.
ACGUAGGUGGCAAGCGUUGUCCGGAAUUAUUGGGCGUAAAGCGCGCGCAGGCGGUCCUUUAAGUCUGAUGUGAAAGCCCACGGCUCAACCGUGGAGGGUCAUUGGAAACUGGGGGACUUGAGUGCAGAAGAGGAAAGUGGAAUUCCACGUGUAGCGGUGAAAUGCGUAGAGAUGUGGAGGAACACCAGUGGCGAAGGCGACUUACUGGACACAUAUUGACGCUGAGGUGCGAAAGCGUGGGGAGCAAACAGGA